This is a long non-coding RNA of Nicotiana attenuata, 115 nucleotides long. RefSeq lists it as uncharacterized. NCBI's taxonomy places the organism in Eukaryota, Viridiplantae, Streptophyta, Magnoliopsida, Solanales, Solanaceae. The transcript has 2 exons. The record is from RefSeq and is a predicted model, not a curated record.
AUUUCGGAUACUUUUGUUCAGUUGUUGAGGCCCGUCCCUUCUCCCACGUCCUCUUUGGUUUAGUUGAAUCUGAAAAAUAUUUGAAUAGUCAUGAAUCAAGAAGGGUGCUCAAGCA